This 522-nucleotide ribosomal RNA is filed under the name uncultured marine eukaryote. RNAcentral's name for it is "SSU rRNA". It matches the Rfam family "Eukaryotic small subunit ribosomal RNA", at positions 610 to 1132 of the family's 1831-position model. The record is from RNAcentral.
UUGUUGUGGUUAAAAAGCUCGUAGUUGGAUCUCGGCGGACUGAGGGCGGUUUGCUUGCUAGUAUUACUGCCCUAUAGUCCGUAGUUUUGCCAGAGGUUUCGGGGUGCUCUUAAUCGAGUGUCCCGGGAUGCUGGCAGGUUUACUUUGAAAAAAUUAGAGUGCUCAAAGCAGGCUAUUACGCCUGAAUAUUCGUGCAUAGAAUAAUAGAAUAGGAAGUCGUUUCUAUUUUGUUGGUUUUCGGAAAUCGACUUAAUGAUUAAUAGGGACAGUCGGGGGCAUUUGUAUUCAAACGACAGAGGUGAAAUUCUUGGACCGUUUGAAGACAAACUACUGCGAAAGCAUUUGCCAAGAAUGUUUUCAUUAAUCAAGAACGAAAGUUAAAGGUUCGAAGGCGAUUAGAUACCGCCCUAGUUUUAACCAUAAACGAUGCCAGCUAGCGAUCUGCGGACGUUUUUUUUGUAGAUUCCGCAGGAAGCAUCCGGGAAACCAAAGCAUUUGGGUUCCAGGGGGAAGUAUGGUUGC